GAUGGCGUAGGAACUAGAAGAAAAUGUGAUAAAUAUUUGGUGUCAUGAGAUGAAGAAAAUCAACCAUAAUGAGGAAAGAAGCCUACAGGCACAAGGAAGCUGGACCUUGGACAGGUAAAGUUCUCACUGAAGUCAAUUGGAGUUUGGACUGCCCGAGGGCUGCAGCAUCAGGCCCCAAGUCAUCUAUUAUAAAUAUUUUUGACACAUCAGAUUCAUACACAUUCAACUCCAGCUGAAAAGGAUGCUGUCAUCCUUAUUAUGCACCCUUGUGGAUUUGGAGGAGGUGGUGGGGUUCUUGACGCACAUCAUUUGCUUCCACAAAUCUCCAAAGUGAUGUCUCCUUUCCUAGAGCUGCUUUCCCAGCUGGCUCCAAUGGUUGAAGUUAAAAGGUUUAAAAAUCCCAUUAAUUUGGCAGCCUGGGUGGCUCAGCGGUUUAGCUCCACCUUCAGCCCAGGGCAUGAUCCUGGAGACCUGGGAUUGAGUCCCACAUCCAGUUCCCUGCAUGGAACCUGCUUCUCCCUCUGCCUGUGUCUCUGCCUCUCUCUCUCUCUCUGUCUCUCAUGAAUAAAUAAAUAAAAUCUUAAAAAAAAAAUAAAAAUAAAAACCC
Molecule: long non-coding RNA, 607 nt
Filed under: Vulpes vulpes (red fox)
Lineage: Eukaryota; Metazoa; Chordata; Mammalia; Carnivora; Canidae
Description: lncRNA (ENSVVUG00000014125.1)
Source: RNAcentral